RNAcentral lists this ribosomal RNA (2902 nucleotides) under Escherichia coli KTE224. Its description in RNAcentral is "bacterial LSU rRNA". It matches the Rfam family "Bacterial large subunit ribosomal RNA". Lineage: Bacteria; Pseudomonadati; Pseudomonadota; Gammaproteobacteria; Enterobacterales; Enterobacteriaceae. The record is from RNAcentral.
UUAAGCGACUAAGCGUACACGGUGGAUGCCCUGGCAGUCAGAGGCGAUGAAGGACGUGCUAAUCUGCGAUAAGCGUCGGUGAGGUGAUAUGAACCGUUAUAACCGGCGAUUUCCGAAUGGGGAAACCCAGUGUGUUUCGACACACUAUCAUUAACUGAAUCCAUAGGUUAAUGAGGCGAACCGGGGGAACUGAAACAUCUAAGUACCCCGAGGAAAAGAAAUCAACCGAGAUUCCCCCAGUAGCGGCGAGCGAACGGGGAGGAGCCCAGAGCCUGAAUCAGUGUGUGUGUUAGUGGAAGCGUCUGGAAAGGCGUGCGAUACAGGGUGACAGCCCCGUACACAAAAAUGCACAUAUUGUGAGCUCGAUGAGUAGGGCGGGACACGUGGUAUCCUGUCUGAAUAUGGGGGGACCAUCCUCCAAGGCUAAAUACUCCUGACUGACCGAUAGUGAACCAGUACCGUGAGGGAAAGGCGAAAAGAACCCCGGCGAGGGGAGUGAAAAAGAACCUGAAACCGUGUACGUACAAGCAGUGGGAGCCUCUUAAUGGGGUGACUGCGUACCUUUUGUAUAAUGGGUCAGCGACUUAUAUUCUGUAGCAAGGUUAACCGAAUAGGGGAGCCGAAGGGAAACCGAGUCUUAACUGGGCGUUAAGUUGCAGGGUAUAGACCCGAAACCCGGUGAUCUAGCCAUGGGCAGGUUGAAGGUUGGGUAACACUAACUGGAGGACCGAACCGACUAAUGUUGAAAAAUUAGCGGAUGACUUGUGGCUGGGGGUGAAAGGCCAAUCAAACCGGGAGAUAGCUGGUUCUCCCCGAAAGCUAUUUAGGUAGCGCCUCGUGAAUUCAUCUCCGGGGGUAGAGCACUGUUUCGGCAAGGGGGUCAUCCCGACUUACCAACCCGAUGCAAACUGCGAAUACCGGAGAAUGUUAUCACGGGAGACACACGGCGGGUGCUAACGUCCGUCGUGAAGAGGGAAACAACCCAGACCGCCAGCUAAGGUCCCAAAGUCAUGGUUAAGUGGGAAACGAUGUGGGAAGGCCCAGACAGCCAGGAUGUUGGCUUAGAAGCAGCCAUCAUUUAAAGAAAGCGUAAUAGCUCACUGGUCGAGUCGGCCUGCGCGGAAGAUGUAACGGGGCUAAACCAUGCACCGAAGCUGCGGCAGCGACACUAUGUGUUGUUGGGUAGGGGAGCGUUCUGUAAGCCUGUGAAGGUGGCCUGUGAGGGUUGCUGGAGGUAUCAGAAGUGCGAAUGCUGACAUAAGUAACGAUAAAGCGGGUGAAAAGCCCGCUCGCCGGAAGACCAAGGGUUCCUGUCCAACGUUAAUCGGGGCAGGGUGAGUCGACCCCUAAGGCGAGGCCGAAAGGCGUAGUCGAUGGGAAACAGGUUAAUAUUCCUGUACUUGGUGUUACUGCGAAGGGGGGACGGAGAAGGCUAUGUUGGCCGGGCGACGGUUGUCCCGGUUUAAGCGUGUAGGCUGGUUUUCCAGGCAAAUCCGGAAAACCAAGGCUGAGGCGUGAUGACGAGGCACUACGGUGCUGAAGCGACAAAUGCCCUGCUUCCAGGAAAAGCCUCUAAGCAUCAGGUAACAUCAAAUCGUACCCCAAACCGACACAGGUGGUCAGGUAGAGAAUACCAAGGCGCUUGAGAGAACUCGGGUGAAGGAACUAGGCAAAAUGGUGCCGUAACUUCGGGAGAAGGCACGCUGAUAUGUAGGUGAAGCGACUUGCUCGUGGAGCUGAAAUCAGUCGAAGAUACCAGCUGGCUGCAACUGUUUAUUAAAAACACAGCACUGUGCAAACACGAAAGUGGACGUAUACGGUGUGACGCCUGCCCGGUGCCGGAAGGUUAAUUGAUGGGGUUAGCGGCAACGCGAAGCUCUUGAUCGAAGCCCCGGUAAACGGCGGCCGUAACUAUAACGGUCCUAAGGUAGCGAAAUUCCUUGUCGGGUAAGUUCCGACCUGCACGAAUGGCGUAAUGAUGGCCAGGCUGUCUCCACCCGAGACUCAGUGAAAUUGAACUCGCUGUGAAGAUGCAGUGUACCCGCGGCAAGACGGAAAGACCCCGUGAACCUUUACUAUAGCUUGACACUGAACAUUGAGCCUUGAUGUGUAGGAUAGGUGGGAGGCUUUGAAGUGUGGACGCCAGUCUGCAUGGAGCCGACCUUGAAAUACCACCCUUUAAUGUUUGAUGUUCUAACGUUGGCCCGUAAUCCGGGUUGCGGACAGUGUCUGGUGGGUAGUUUGACUGGGGCGGUCUCCUCCUAAAGAGUAACGGAGGAGCACGAAGGUUGGCUAAUCCUGGUCGGACAUCAGGAGGUUAGUGCAAUGGCAUAAGCCAGCUUAACUGCGAGCGUGACGGCGCGAGCAGGUGCGAAAGCAGGUCAUAGUGAUCCGGUGGUUCUGAAUGGAAGGGCCAUCGCUCAACGGAUAAAAGGUACUCCGGGGAUAACAGGCUGAUACCGCCCAAGAGUUCAUAUCGACGGCGGUGUUUGGCACCUCGAUGUCGGCUCAUCACAUCCUGGGGCUGAAGUAGGUCCCAAGGGUAUGGCUGUUCGCCAUUUAAAGUGGUACGCGAGCUGGGUUUAGAACGUCGUGAGACAGUUCGGUCCCUAUCUGCCGUGGGCGCUGGAGAACUGAGGGGGGCUGCUCCUAGUACGAGAGGACCGGAGUGGACGCAUCACUGGUGUUCGGGUUGUCAUGCCAAUGGCACUGCCCGGUAGCUAAAUGCGGAAGAGAUAAGUGCUGAAAGCAUCUAAGCACGAAACUUGCCCCGAGAUGAGUUCUCCCUGAGACUUAGAGUCUCCUGAAGGAACGUUGAAGACGACGACGUUGAUAGGCCGGGUGUGUAAGCGCAGCGAUGCGUUGAGCUAACCGGUACUAAUGAACCGUGAGGCUUAACCUU